CUUUACUGUAGCUUGGGAUUGGGUUCGGGCUUUGUCUGCGCAGUAUAGGUGGGAGACGUUGAGAAUAUUCUUGCGGGAGUAUUGGAGUCAUCAGUGAGAUACCACUCUUGUAAUGUUAGAUUUCUAACUUUGGAUCAUUAUCUGGUCAAAGGACAGUUUCAGGCGGGCAGUUUGACUGGGGCGGUCGCCUCCCAAACGGUAACGGAGGCGCACAAAGGUUUCCUCUGAACGUGUAGAAAUCGUAUCUAGAGUGUAAAGGCAUAAGGAAGCUUGACUGUGAGACCUACAAGUCGAGCAGGGACGAAAGUCGGUCUUAGUGAUCUGACGGUGCUGAGUGGAAAGGCCGUCACUCAACGGAUAAAAGUUA
Molecule: ribosomal RNA, 367 nt
Filed under: uncultured organism
Description: bacterial LSU rRNA
Rfam family: Bacterial large subunit ribosomal RNA
Source: RNAcentral